UGCAAGUCGAACGGCACCCCUCCUCCGGAGGGAAGGCGAGUGGCGAACGGCUGAGUAACACGUGGAGAACCUCGCCCCCUCCCCCGGGAUAGCCGCCCGAAAGGACGGGUAAUACCGGAUACCCCCGGGCGCCGCAUGGCGCCCGGGCUAAAGCCCCGACGGGAGGGGAUGGCUCCGCGGCCCAUCAGGUAGACGGCGGGGUGACGGCCCACCGUGCCGACAACGGGUAGCCGGGUUGAGAGACCGACCGGCCAGAUUGGGACUGAGACACGGCCCAGACUCCUAGGGAGGCAGCAUG
Molecule: ribosomal RNA, 298 nt
Filed under: uncultured bacterium
Lineage: Bacteria
Description: partial 16S ribosomal RNA
Rfam family: Bacterial small subunit ribosomal RNA
Source: RNAcentral